Molecule: ribosomal RNA, 497 nt
Filed under: uncultured bacterium
Lineage: Bacteria
Description: partial 16S ribosomal RNA
Rfam family: Bacterial small subunit ribosomal RNA
Source: RNAcentral
GAUGAACGCUGGCGGCGUGCCUAAUACAUGCAAGUCGAGCGAACAGACGAGGAGCUUGCUCCUCUGACGUUAGCGGCGGACGGGUGAGUAACACGUGGAUAACCUACCUGUAAGACUGGGAUAACUUCGGGAAACCGGAGCUAAUACCGGAUAAUAUAUUGAACCGCAUGGUUCAAUAGUGAAAGUCGGCUUUGCUGUCACUUAUAGCUGCAUCUGGGCCGCAUUAGCUAGUUGGUAAGGUAACGGCUUACCAAGGCAGGGAGGCGUGGCCGACGGGAGAGAGGGGUAGGCGACAUGGGAGGUGGACCAGGGUCCAGAGGCCUACGAGAGGCAGCAGUAGGGAACGGUCCGCAGUGGGCGAAAGCAUGACGGAGCAACGCCGAGUGAGUGGUGAAGGUGUUCGGAGCGGAAUACCCGGUUAUUAGGGAUGAACAGAUGUGGAAUUAACUAUGGACGUAGUGACGGUACCGAAUCAGAAAGCAACGGCUAACUACGUG